This 496-nucleotide ribosomal RNA is filed under the name uncultured Croceibacter sp. RNAcentral's name for it is "bacterial SSU rRNA". It matches the Rfam family "Bacterial small subunit ribosomal RNA", at positions 549 to 1050 of the family's 1533-position model. Lineage: Bacteria; Pseudomonadati; Bacteroidota; Flavobacteriia; Flavobacteriales; Flavobacteriaceae. The record is from RNAcentral.
AAUCAUUGGGUUUAAAGGGUCCGCAGGCGGCCAGAUAAGUCAGUGGUGAAAUUCCGUGGCUCAACCACGGAACUGCCAUUGAUACUGUUUGGCUUGAAUCAGUUCGAGGAUGCCGGAAUGUGUGUGUAGCGGUGAAAUGCAUAGAUAUCACACAGAACACCAAUUGCGAAGGCAGGUGUCCAGAACUGUAUUGACGCUGAUGGACGAAAGCGUGGGUAGCGAACAGGAUUAGAUACCCUGGUAGUCCACGCCGUAAACGAUGGUUACUAGCUGUUUGGACCUUGUGUCUGAGUGGCUAAGCGAAAGUGAUAAGUAACCCACCUGGGGAGUACGUUCGCAAGAAUGAAACUCAAAGGAAUUGACGGGGGCCCGCACAAGCGGUGGAGCAUGUGGUUUAAUUCGAUGAUACGCGAGGAACCUUACCAGGGCUUAAAUGUAAGUUGCAUUAGUUAGGGAUAACUAUUUCUUCGGACCACUUACAAGGUGCUGCAUGGCU